GGGCAACUUGUCCUCGAGACCGGAAUAACCACGGGAAACUGUGGCUAAUGCCGGAUGGCCCCAUAAGGACACAAGUCCUCUUGGGUAAAUGGUAGGGAUCUUCGGACCUUCCGCUCGAGGAGAGGCUCAUGCGCUAUCAGCUUGUUGGUGAGGUAAAGGCUCACCAAGGCGGAGACGGCUAGGCGGUCUGAGAGGACGGCCGCCCACAUCGGGACUGAGACACUGCCCGG
This 230-nucleotide ribosomal RNA is filed under the name uncultured bacterium. RNAcentral describes it as "partial 16S ribosomal RNA". It matches the Rfam family "Bacterial small subunit ribosomal RNA", at positions 119 to 334 of the family's 1533-position model. The record is from RNAcentral.